RNAcentral lists this unclassified non-coding RNA (218 nucleotides) under Hevea brasiliensis (rubber tree). Lineage: Eukaryota; Viridiplantae; Streptophyta; Magnoliopsida; Malpighiales; Euphorbiaceae. The record is from RNAcentral.
GGAGAAUAGUGGCUAGAGAACUUGUGCAAAAGGAUAGUAAAGUCAAUUGGCGUGCUACUAUCGUUGAUUGGCCUGGUCUGGGUUUCUCUGAUAGACCAAAGAUGGAUUACAAUGCUGACGUUAUGGAGAAGUUCUUAGUGGACUUGAUCAAUGCUCCUAAUGGUCCAUUGAGCAGCUCAAAAGAUGACUUGGUGGUAUUUGGAGGUGGCCAUGCGGCU